CCUGAAGUUGAGGAUAUUCUUUUUCAUGCCCACAGAUUUGGGAUUGCAAGAGCAUCGACUUGAUGGAGAGGAGUAUCUUGAAGUAAUUGAUGAAUUUAUGGAGGCUGUUUAUACUCGUUGGCCCCAUGUGAUUGUGCAGUUUGAAGAUUUUCAAG
Non-coding RNA from Nicotiana tabacum (common tobacco), 155 nucleotides. Lineage: Eukaryota; Viridiplantae; Streptophyta; Magnoliopsida; Solanales; Solanaceae. The record is from RefSeq and is a predicted model, not a curated record.